UAGGAGAAUCCAUUACCAAAUAAAUA
Molecule: non-coding RNA, 26 nt
Filed under: Rattus norvegicus (Norway rat)
Lineage: Eukaryota; Metazoa; Chordata; Mammalia; Rodentia; Muridae
Source: RNAcentral